RNAcentral lists this long non-coding RNA (1241 nucleotides) under Megachile rotundata (alfalfa leafcutting bee). RNAcentral's name for it is "uncharacterized LOC105662748, transcript variant X1". The record is from RNAcentral. Lineage: Eukaryota; Metazoa; Arthropoda; Insecta; Hymenoptera; Megachilidae.
CGUUCCAACUGCAAAUUUUUCAGAGGGACUGUACCUCGACUCGUCUCUGAAAGGCCAUAUACACACACGGUGACGUGUGAGUAACGCACUCACGCGUGAAACGUAAGUGUGGUUAGACGAUGUGUAUAGACACGCAUGAAUGUGCAUGGAUCCGAGAAGAUAAGGGACGUACGUGUGAAUGGACGAAGCGUCACCUUGAAAAAGAGUAAGUGUCGAAAGAACGUCUUAUCUGCGACAUUGUAUGUAUGUAAUGGAUACUUAAGUACAUAUGACGAGUGCACGAAUAGGUGGCGUUCGUGUCAAUUUGUAGCUCGUUUGCAUAAAUAACUGAUACGUGGAAAAAGAAAUAUAAUGUAGGAUCGCUUUAUUCUUUGGUGUAAAUAAUUGUUGUGAUAAGCAGUGAUCUGUUGAGAACCGUUAAGGUCCAUUGGAACUAAAAUUAAUCUCUGGGGAGAAUAAUGGAGGAGUCUCUCUAGCUUUGAAAAUCGUAUCGCAUCAGAAACUCCCAUUGCAUCGGUACAAGAAGUGGAAGAUCAAAAUCCCUGAUCUCGAUGAGAGAAGCCCAGAUAUUCAAGAUUAGGAGGGAUUUACAAAAGGGAUGUUAGGUAUUCAGGAAAGCAGCCAGUCUCGUAGGAAGUCUGCUACGUGACGACGAUGUCAAGUUCGAACAAAGAAACGAAAAACGAUAAUAGAAAGGUAGAGAAGGCUAGAGUGCAAUAGGAAACAAUGAACAAGAGGGCGCAUAAAUGAACGUUCUGAAAACAUUUUCUGUCUUUGGCAGACGAUGGGACUCUUGCACUUGCAUAUAUUGCCGAUGCUCUUCAAUAUUCUAGUUGCACUUUUCUUCUAUUUACUUCUAUUUUUAGAAGACUUCCUGUGCUUUUGAACCUCUUUGCUGAUUCUACGGGUGAAGAAAAUGGAUUAUGGGAAUGUUACUUCUGCUGUUCUUCGAAAGGUUCUCACUGUCUCUAUGACUGAAGAAAAUGGAGUACCUUCAACUUCUAUACGUAAACAAAAUGGCGGACCAUAAUAUUAGCUUGUUCCACAUGGAAUUAUAUAUCUCUUUUAUUUAUUUAUAUCGUUAGUCAAAGGAUAUUCUACGUAUGUCAAAGUUCUUGGCUGUUUCUACGAGUGAAGAAAAUGGAGUACAUUUAAGUUCUACAUGUAAACAAAAUGGCGGACUGCUUCUCUAAAAAUCACGUAACUUUUAUGUAAUCUUUUUAUGAACAUCUUUAACAUCA